UACGUAGGGUGCGAGCGUUAAUCGGAAUUACUGGGCGUAAAGCGUGCGCAGGCGGUUUUGUAAGACAGAGGUGAAAUCCCCGGGCUUAACCUGGGAACUGCCUUUGUGACUGCAAGGCUUGAGUGCGGCAGAGGGGGAUGGAAUUCCGCGUGUAGCAGUGAAAUGCGUAGAUAUGCGGAGGAACACCGAUGGCGAAGGCAAUCCCCUGGGCCUGCACUGACGCUCAUGCACGAAAGCGUGGGGAGCAAACAGG
This 253-nucleotide ribosomal RNA is filed under the name uncultured bacterium. Its description in RNAcentral is "partial 16S ribosomal RNA". It matches the Rfam family "Bacterial small subunit ribosomal RNA", at positions 524 to 776 of the family's 1533-position model. The record is from RNAcentral.